AAGAGUGUAGAUUCUUCUUCUUCUUCUUUUGGCUAUAGAAAAGUGUAGAAUUAAAUACCUAGAAUUUAAAAACAUAAAUGAGACACAAAGACACUCGAAACCGGAAUCACUCGAUCCUGACCCCACUAACCAAUCUUGAGGAGCUGUCAUCUUAAACUACCACUCCGGUUGACUCAAAUCAGAUUCAUCCACAACAUUCGAAUCGAAUCUCCCUCUCUCCCAUCGCCGGCGCAAGGCCACCACAAUGGCCGCCGCCAUCACUCAACCACUCCUUUCUCUCUCCAAACCCAAGCCCUCCUCUCUCUUCAAACCCCUUCCCGCCACCGCCAAGAUCCUCCCCAGACCCAACCUCAAAAAGCAAUCUUUGCAGCUGGUGAGAUCAGUGGCCAACGAUUUCGACCUCAUACCCGUAAAGAUCGACGACCAACCGGACGGCGUCGUUUUCGCGGAGAGGGAAGCCGAUCCCGCGGAGGUCGGGGGUUUCGGGACCGAGAGGCUGUCAUUCGAGGGCGCGGCAGGGUUCUUAUCCGCUGCUUCCGGCGAUGGGAGUAGCGAGGAGGAAAUGGAGAGGCUGAGUGAUCGAGCGAUUAAUGCUACUAUUGUGUUGGCAGCUGGUUCUUUCGCUAUAACCAAGUUGCUCACUAUUGAUCAUGAUUAUUGGCAUGGAUGGACCCUUUUUGAGAUAGUAAGAUACUUGCCCCAGCACAACUGGAGUGCUUACGAGGAGGCCCUUAAAACGAAUCCCGUAUUGGCUAAAAUGGUAAUAAGUGGAGUGGUUUAUUCCGUAGGGGAUUGGAUUGCACAGUGUUAUGAAGGGAAGCCCUUGUUUGAGUUUGACCGUGCGCGCAUGUUCCGGUCUGGUCUGCUGGGCUUUACGCUUCACGGAUCCCUUUCUCACUAUUACUACCAAUUUUGUGAGGCUUUAUUUCCUUUUCAUGAUUGGUGGGUGGUUCCUGUGAAAGUUAUCUUUGAUCAGACAGCAUGGUCUGCAGUUUGGAACAGCAUCUACUAUGUGCUCUUAGGCUUCUUACGGUUUGAGUCCCCUGUCACCGUCUUUAGUGAGUUGAGAGCUACAUUCUGGCCCAUGUUGACUGCGGGGUGGAAGCUUUGGCCUUUUGCUCAUCUCAUUACCUACGGUGUGAUCCCAGUCGAACAAAGGCUUCUUUGGGUUGAUUGCGUGGAGCUCAUCUGGGUCACCAUAUUGUCAACAUACUCGAACGAGAAAUCAGAAGCAAGGAUAUCUGAAGCACCGGUUGAAGUUAAUGCCAGUUUGCCAUUGUCAAAUGGUCCAUCUGAGGAGUAAGCAGAAGACGCGACUUUGAAUGAUGAGAGAGAGAGAAGAGAAUGAUCCUAAUACAUGGACGCAGUGAGAGAAGACACCUUCUAUACCAAGAAUCGCAAGCAAAAUUCUCGAAGAGUAAGCAGCGGGGAAACCACUGCCCCAUCAUUCAAUUUCACCACGAAUUGCCCAAAUCUCUGACGGAAGAAACCGAAUAAAAUCCCGCGCGACAACUUCCGGCGCACUCGGUGGUUAGUGUUGAAAGGGCAGGGGACGAAGGUAGCAGCGGCGGUGGAGGUUUCUGCAUGGAUUGGUGUUGGGAGGGAUCAGAGGGCGGUGGCAGAGGGGUGAAGAAGAGAUUUGAGGUCAGAGAGAGCAAUGGUAACAGAUGGCGGUGGCGGAGGCGAAGUUCCGGCGGGAUGAUGAAGACGAAGACAUGGAUUGGGUGUAUUUUUCUCAAGAACCCUAAUUUGAUUUUGCCCUCAAUUUUUCGAUUGGAUUGCAUUUAAUUCUCUAAAUAGACAUAAAACUACGCCGUUUAGGGUUUAGCUUAAACUAUGUCGUUUACUUCGCCGAAAACUUAAUCCUAUGUGGCUUUCCGACAGCCAUGUCAGCAUUAGCUAUAUUGCCAGUCAAUUUUAUGGGAAAAAUGAGAAAAUCUUAACAAGAAUUUUAAAAAUCACGGGAAAAAUGCGAAUUCGGAGAAAUUAUUGGAAUUUUGGGGCUAUUUGCCCAUAAUUUAACUAGUUUUUCUCCAUGCCUCUCCUAUGCUUGAUGAACUUCUAGUAGUGCAGUUUGUUGUCAAUUUUUCUAGUGAAAAUGGCUACAAAAAGGUCCAUGAAUUCUCGAGUUGAUUAUUUGUA
RNA transcript from Salvia miltiorrhiza (redroot sage), 2142 nucleotides. It is a transcript of the gene named protein SYM1-like, with no coding region annotated. The record is from RefSeq and is a predicted model, not a curated record. The transcript is spliced from 8 exons. NCBI's taxonomy places the organism in Eukaryota, Viridiplantae, Streptophyta, Magnoliopsida, Lamiales, Lamiaceae.